Molecule: long non-coding RNA, 1108 nt
Filed under: Piliocolobus tephrosceles (Ugandan red Colobus)
Lineage: Eukaryota; Metazoa; Chordata; Mammalia; Primates; Cercopithecidae
Description: lncRNA (ENSPTEG00000002183.1)
Source: RNAcentral
CAAAAAUUGAACCAUCUGCUUUACAUAGAGUGGUCGACAAAUUGAAGAAGGAUUACUAUGAAUAUAGGAGCAACCUCCAGGUAACACACACGUGGACACGCUUUGCAUAUUAUCAUACCUCCAUAUUUGUACACAUACACACUUGCACACUUGCACACACACCCAUGUUUAGGUGCUGCCUAAAUAUAUGUCUAUUCACAAUUAUCACUUUUUUUUUUUUUUUUUUUUUUUUCUUUUUUUUUUUUUUCUUUACAUCAUACAGUCUUUUUUAAUCGGUCAAACACUUUCCUACAUAUCUGACAACAAACUUGGAUAUCAAAACUUCGAUUUACAACUGCUAGAAAAGAUAACCAUUCAAGAUGUAAAUAGUGUUUUAAACAACUUAUUUAAUGAUUUAUCUUUGUUUGAAGUAACUAUAGCUGGUGAUGUUACAGAUUUUAUACAUUAUUAUAUUCGUCAUUACUUAGGUACUAUAACAAAUAAUAAAGAAAAUAAAAAAAUUACAAAUUUUGAUAUAUUAAAUAAUAAAAAGGAAGUGACAAGCGUGUUAAAAAAGUCAAACAUGAUGAAUAAUGAAACGAUAGAAAGUGGAAGUAGUAAUGAUACCACAUCAGUAACUAAUAACAAAUCAAAUGGUAUGACAUACGAAUAUAAUUUAUUAUGUCCGUUAGUAAAGUUGGAACAAAAAUCAAAACAAACCACAUAUGUAUAUAUAAAUGACAAAGAAGAACAUGCUGUUUUUUUAUUAAUGGGUAAAAGUGCUAACUAUUUUGGCUUUCUUCCAAACGGAGUACAUAUAUCUAUUUAUUUAUUACAAUUUUUAAAAAAAAUAGAAUACCUUAUAAGCAAUAAUAAUAAUGAACAAAAGAUAAGUGAUAAGAAGAAAAAUAUGAUCGACAUCGAAUUAGAAAAAAUAAAAAGCUACAUAGAUACCGACGAUUUCAGUAAAACCAAAUUUGACGAAUUUAUACAAAAAAAAAAAAAAUUAUAUACAAACCCUAUUUUUUUUUCUGCCGUAUCAUAUAUAAUUCAAUAUAUAUUAAACAGUAAAUUUUUUCAUUAUUUAAGAGAAAAAAAAGACUUAACAUAUGAUUCAUCAUUUGAAUUU